This 636-nucleotide unclassified non-coding RNA is filed under the name Leptopilina sp. BN-2010d. RNAcentral describes it as "partial ITS1". The record is from RNAcentral. Lineage: Eukaryota; Metazoa; Arthropoda; Insecta; Hymenoptera; Figitidae.
GUUUCCGUAGGUGAACCUGCGGAAGGAUCAUUAACGUAUUACAGUUAAAAUGUAUGCUCUACGAAGCAUCGUCUGUUUUACAAAAAUAUAUAAUAUUUUUUUAUGUCUAUUUAAUUAUAAUAAUUAAAUGCAUAGAAAAUAUUUUUUUGAACGAGCCAAACAAAAAUUAAUUUUUUUGACUUUGGUGUACUAUUUAAAAAGAUGUCUGCCGUGGUAACCUUGUAAAGGAGCAGUAUUGCCAUUAUGAGUCGUAUCUUGUAUAAAAUAACAAGUACGCCUUUGUGCUUAUUAAUGCUGUUCCGUGGUUUUUCAAUGAAUUUUCGCCCGGCGCCUUAAAUGGCAUCUUUAUGCUAGCGUUACGCGCGUUUGGUAUAAAUAUUGUAGAAAAAUUAAUUUUUUUCUUUAUUUAAUAUCCAGGCGUUAGCGUAUCAGCCGGCCGGUGCAUUUGUCGUUUGAAAUUUUAUAUUUCUUACUGACAUUAAUGCACCAAACCGCUUUGAAGCAAAACAUUUUUAAAAUUUAUUUUUUAAAAAAUAUUUGUCUAUCAAAAACGGCUUAUCGAAUUCUGAAAAAUUAUAUAAUUUAUAUAAAUGAUUACCCUGAACGGUGGAUCACUUGGCUCGUGGGUCGAUGAAG